This 230-nucleotide ribosomal RNA is filed under the name uncultured bacterium. Its description in RNAcentral is "partial 16S ribosomal RNA". It matches the Rfam family "Bacterial small subunit ribosomal RNA", at positions 57 to 305 of the family's 1533-position model. The record is from RNAcentral.
GCAAGUCGAGCGAGAAGGUUCCUUCGGGAACUGGAGAGCGGCGGACGGGUUAGUAACGCGUGGGAACGUGCCUUAAGGUCUGGGAUAACCAUUGGAAACGAUGGCUAAUACCGGAUGGUCCCUUCGGGGUAAAGCUUUAGCGCCUUAAGAUCGGCCCGCGUUAGAUUAGCUAGUUGGUGAGGUAACGGCUCACCAAGGCGACGAUCUAUAGCUGGUUUGAGAGGAUGAUC